AGUACCAUUCAAAGAGCUAUGACAAUGACGCUGUUUAUAGCUCUGAAAAUGGCGCUGC
RNAcentral lists this microRNA precursor (58 nucleotides) under Gallus gallus (chicken). RNAcentral's name for it is "Gga-Mir-458-as_pre stem-loop". The record is from RNAcentral. Lineage: Eukaryota; Metazoa; Chordata; Aves; Galliformes; Phasianidae.